AGAAAUGAUUUCUUGUAACGAAAGCCGGAUAUUGUCACGCAAAACUCAAUUUCUGGUAACGAAACGAAAGAUUUGUUACGAAAAGAGAAUUUUCGUUACAAAAGGUCCAAUUUUCGGUAACAAGAGAAAAGCGUAGUUACAUAAAAUAAAUAAUCGUUACCAAAAGAAUUCUUUUUCGUGACAAAAAAAUAACAUUCAUUACUAAUAAGGGGAUUUCAUCGUUCUCACAAAUACGAUAGCAAGGGGAAAACCCAAACCCAGCCAAAAAUUGCUCCCAGCCCUGACACCUUCCAUUGAUUUUUUUCGUUUCUUUGCAAUUAUUUUUCCAAAUUUUGAGAUCUCUGUCGAUUAUUUGAUUCCCCGUCUCUGUAAUUUUCGCAAUUAGGUUUCGAUUCUGUUCAAGCCAACCUCCGGCGAAUCGUCUCAAUUAGGUUUCGAUUAUGUUCAAACCAAGCUCCGGCGAAUUGUCUCCGGCCGCGAACAGCUCAAAAUCGCCUUCGAUCCGCUCCAUUGCCAGAUUAGAACUGGUUUGCUCGAGUUCUUAUAAUAAGACUCCUGAUUAAUUGCUUGGUGGUCACAAUUCAGUGGAAAUCAGUGAGCAUACACGACAAUUGGACCUCAAACAUCUAAAAUUUAUGUUUCCAGGUUAGGUUUACAGGUUUAUUUUAUGGUUUAAUAAUAUGUAUAUAUGUGCAUUCAUAGAGAUAUUCAAAUUCGGGAUUUAUUGUUGAAGGACUUGUCUGGAAAAUAAAAAAAAUGUUGAAGUUCUCGUUGUUUGAUUCGUGUUUCAUUUUGGAAUUCUGUUAUUUAUAAUCCGGGAACUUGGCGGGGCAACGACAUGUUAAAAUUUGUGUGAAUUGGUUCGUUCUUUAAUGGUAUCUUCCGUUGCACCUUAAAUGUGUUUGUGUUUUUCUCUUUACAGUUAUUUAUGGGAUAAAUAGAAUUGGUUCGUUCUUUGUAUUACAGUACUACAUUCUGUUUUCCAUCAUAAGGGCAAUCUGGGUUUUGUAUGUUUUACUUGGCAUUUUACUCUUAACAGUAUAAAGCUUUACUCUCAUGUAGGCUUUCAUAUGCCGUCCAUUAUACGUGCAAGAGUAAUGAAAAUGAAUCUUUGCAUAAUUCUAUAUUUAUAUUCCUUUCCCUGGAGCCUAUUUUAUCUAUUGCAUGGAUUCUGUAUUAGUUGAUUGUAAAGUUUUGCACGAGUUUGAGCUUUCGUUCGUCUUUUUGUUUGCAUUUAUAUUUCAAAUCAAUUGCUAAUAGAAAAGGAAGUUCUUCUAUUAUGCUAUUACAACAUUGUCUCUCAAUUGAUUAGCCUUUAAGCAUUUCUCUGCCAUUGCACAACUUGUAACACUAAUUGUGUGGUUACUGCAGAUUGAGAUUAUAUACAACUUCGGGCUGAGGACAAUGACUAAGUAGGGUCAUCAUCACUGAAAAAUAACAAGAGAACAUAUAUAUAAAACGGAGUUGAUGUGAAGAAAUACAAGGUGUACGAGAAGAGACGAAGGAGUUGAUUAUAAUGUUAUUGGAGUAAAUACGAUAGACAGUGCGGUAUGAAGUUUUAGAACUUAGCUUGAAUUUUGAUCAUAUUAGCCAUACACUUUGAAAUAUAUUGCUACAUGUCAUCUUAUUUUACUUUUGAAACUUAUAUAUUUUCUAUUGAAAGAUGAAUUUUUUUUUUUUCUAGUUGGGAUAUAUUUUUUUUAAUUGUAUAUAUGAUUUUUGAGGCAAUUUAUACAACUUUAUUUCAGGUU
Molecule: non-coding RNA, 1751 nt
Organism: Erythranthe guttata (spotted monkey flower)
Lineage: Eukaryota; Viridiplantae; Streptophyta; Magnoliopsida; Lamiales; Phrymaceae
Source: RefSeq, a predicted model, not a curated record